RNAcentral lists this transfer RNA (65 nucleotides) under Patella vulgata (common limpet). RNAcentral's name for it is "tRNA-Met". Lineage: Eukaryota; Metazoa; Mollusca; Gastropoda; Patellidae. The record is from RNAcentral.
GCUAAGGUAAGUUAAUAAAACUACCGGGUUCAUGCCCCGUCCAUACGUUUAAAGCGUCUUUAGCU